Molecule: long non-coding RNA, 4028 nt
Filed under: Salmo salar (Atlantic salmon)
Lineage: Eukaryota; Metazoa; Chordata; Actinopteri; Salmoniformes; Salmonidae
Description: lncRNA (ENSSSAG00000114727.1)
Source: RNAcentral
UUUUUUUUCACUUGAGUUUAUUUGUAACAAAAAAACUUGUGUCGACAAAGAACAGAAUUUCAUACAGACUUUUUGUUAUUUUUUUUCCAGUGUCGCCGCAGGGAACGGAAGAAAAAUGACAAAGCACUUGUUUCACUCAAAACAGAAAACCGUUUACAUGUACAGGUUGUUCGGAGGUCAUUUGAUUAUUUCCUUUUAACACGCCAUAUUCUGUUUAAAAUGUCUCUUUUUUUUUUUUUUUUAAUAAACUCCAGUUUUAUUCAUCCACAUGACACAUUUGGGGGGGAAAAUAACAAUUGAUUUAUUAAUUUAUGUGAUAGUUUAUAGUUUUAUUUAGUGGUAGCAUGACCAGAGGGUGACAUAUUACACAUAAGUGACUGUGAUAGAAGCUUUCAUUAAAAUCUGUUUUAUUUAUUUAAUAGUUAUUUAUUUGUAGAUUUUAUUCUUCGUGUUCUGUGUUAUUUACAUAUACACAAUGUAGUAAGCAUCGAGAGUUGAUCUUGACUGACAAACACAAGUUCAAGUAACAUAGUUUGGGGGAGUGAUAUCAGAAUCAGACAUGAGGAAAUCAUUUCAAAAUACUGUAUCUGGGCUUGAUUGAGCUUGCCUGGAGCAACGGAACCAAUAGAACAGUCGCAACAACAAAAAAACACCCACAAACCCCGCCCAUCUGGCACUCCAGGCAGGGUAGAGCAAACGCUUGAAGUAUUUGAACCCGUGUCUGAACAGAACCAACAAGGUGGUAGUAUUAUAGUAGUAGUGCAUAGUACAAAGAGAGAAAGUGCUAAAUCUUCCCAUCAAGGUGUUUGCCAAGGGACCGUCUCAAAAGUCCUGGUAGGCUACCAAUACCAUGCAUAUAAAAAGACAACCGUCUACGUCCCAAAAUGGCUCCCUAUUACCCUAUAUAGUGCACUACUUUUGACCUGUGCCUAUGGGUAGUAGUGCACUAUAAAGGGAAUAGGGUGUCAUUUUUUGGGACGCACACGACGAUCCGUGUCACUGUAAGAUGUACAGCGAGGUGGUGGACAAUACAAAGUUGUGAAGAAUGAAUGAGCGAGUUCCAAAACGAUGCUUUUUCUGUGUCGUACAUAGAGGACAGUGUAGAGAGUAACAAUAGGAACCGGAGCUUUGUCACAUGACCAACGACAGCCGGGGGGAAAACGGACAACGGAAUUCUAAUUAACACAGGAUGCGUCUGAAAUGGCACCCUAGUCCCAUAUGUAGAAUAUACUGCGAUGGAUGCAGACACAGUCAGACAAGAAGGUUCACUGUUUUCUUUAAAUAAAAAGGGAGGUUUCAACUGGAAUGGAAUGCAAAAGCACAAACGUGGUGGUGGUGGUGGUGGUGGUGUGGUUGGACUGGGCCAGAGUUACAACAAAAUACAAUGUCAAAGCCAUUGUCAUGUAUCUUUAUAUAGAAGUGUAGCUAAGUUACUGUGACUUGUUUGUUAUCUCUCUGUCUGUGCCAAACCCAUAAUUGGGUACUGUUGGAAUUGGCAACUUUCACAGGAGUCAAAUUGAAGUCUCUAGGAGAAUACAAGAAUACAUACCAAGCGCCAUGAAGAAAAAAACAAAACAACGUGACACUUUGGAACAAAAGAAUGUCACUGACUCAGUCAAGCUUGACUGACUUGACAGAUUGUCAGGACUCAAUACCCAAAACACUACGCCUAUGUCCAAAAUGGCACCCUAUUCCCUAUAUAGUGCACUACUUUUGACCAGAGCCCUAUGACCCCUGGUCAAAAGUAGUGCACUCUAUCAGGAAUAGGGUACAAUAGGAUGCAGAAAACAACUCUCAUCAACAUAUUUGUGCAGAUAACACUUAUUUUAAAUCCCAUGCUGAGGUUUAUCUCAGGUCCUAGCUGUUGACCAUGUUGGGGUUUAAACCAAAGACAUUACACUAGGUUAGCUGUUGACUGUUGUGGGGUUUAAACCAAAGACAUUACACUAGGUUAGCUGUUGACUGUUGUGGGGUUUAAACCAAAUACAUUACACUAGGUUAGCUGUUGACCAUGUUGGGGUUUAAACCAAAGACAUUAUACUAGGUUAGCUAGCUGUUGACCAUGAUGGGGUUUAAACCAAAGACAUUACACUAGGUUAGCUGUUGACCAUGAUGGGGUUUAAACCAAAGACAUUACACUAGGUUAGCUGUUGACCAUGAUGGGGUUUAAACCAAAGACAUUACACUAGGUUAGCUAGCUGCUGAUCAUGAUGGGGUUUAAACCAAAGACAUUACACUAGGUUAGCUGUUGACCAUGUUGGGGUUUAAACCAAAGACAUUACACUAGGUUAGCUGUUGACCAUGAUGGGGUUUAAACCAAAGACAUUACACUAGGUUAGCUAGCUGUUGACCAUGAUGGGGUUUAAACCAAAGACAUUACACUAGGUUAGCUAGCUGUUGACCAUGAUGGGGUUUAAACCAAAGACAUUACACUAGGUUAGCUGUUGACCAUGAUGGGGUUUAAACCAAAGACAUUACACUAGGUUAGCUGUUGACCAUGAUGGGGUUUAAACCAAAGACAUUACACUAGGUUAGCUGUUGACCAUGUUGGGGUUUAAACCAAAGACAUUACACUAGGUUAGCUGUUGAUCAUGAUGGGGUUUAAACCAAAGACAUUACACUAGGUUAGCUGCUGAUCAUGAUGGGGUUUAAACCAAAGACAUUACACUAGGUUAGCUAGCUGUUGACCAUGUUGGGGUUUAAACCAAAGACAUUACACUAGGUUAGCUGUUGACUGUUGUGGGGUUUAAACCAAAGACAUUACACUAGGUUAGCUGUUGACUGUUGUGGGGUUUAAACCAAAUACAUUACACUAGGUUAGCUGUUGACCAUGUUGGGGUUUAAACCAAAGACAUUACACUAGGUUAGCUAGCUGCUGACCAUGAUGGGGUUUAAACCAAAUACAUUACACUAGGUUAGCUGUUGACCAUGAUGGGGUUUAAACCAAAGACAUUACACUAGGUUAGCUGUUGACUGUUGUGGGGUUUAAACCAAAGACAUUACACUAGGUUAGCUGUUGACUGUUGUGGGGUUUAAACCAAAUACAUUACACUAGGUUAGCUGUUGACCAUGAUGGGGUUUAAACCAAAGACAUUACACUAGGUUAGCUGUUGACUGUUGUGGGGUUUAAACCAAAGACAUUACACUAGGUUAGCUGUUGACCAUGAUAGGGUUUAAACCAAAGACAUUACACUAGGUUAGCUAGUUGCUGACCAUGAUAGGGUUUAAACCAAAGACAUUACACUAGGCUGGUCAUUUGUUGCCUAGAUGAAGGUGAAUGAGAGAAGUGGUGAAUGAAAAACAGAAUGACUCUUCCAUAAACUCCCAUAACAUAUCAUAACAUACUAAAAACAACCAUAACAACCAAAUCCUUUACAUCACACACGCAAUGGACAUUCCAGUUAACAUACAUACAUACCAUAACACACAGUUAUUACUAACAUAACUUAAACUUUAUCAAAAUAGGCGAGUAUUAUAAGGCACUAUAUAGUCUAAACUUAACAAUACUUAUUUGAUGCUGUUUGGAAAUACCACAAGUUGUUGCUCAUUCAUUGCUGUGAUACACACAAAAGGAUGACAUCAUCUACUUGUGCCAUGACAAGACAAAAAUGUAUCUACUUCCUGGGUCAAAGGUCCUUGAAACGGACACGUUUCAUUGGGCAGGUGCAAUAUCAGUCAUAAUAACACCGUGGUGCCUGAAAAGAUAGGUCCUCGUCAACAUUAUACAUGGCGAAACUUGAGUAGUGAGACACUUGACAGAAAUAUAAUAGUCACACAUAUACUUAUUGCACGGGUACUGAAUCAGAGAGAGAACGCUUAUAUAUCUGGGAGCAUUCCAAUGAGAAAAUUACCUUCACCCAUUCCUCCCUCCUUUCCUCCAUCCCUCCCUCCUUUCCCCAUCCCUCCCUCCAUCCCUCCCUCCUUUCCUCCCUCCUUUCCUCCAUCCCUCCCUCCCUCCUUUCCUCAUCCCUCCCUCCCUCCUUUCACCCAUCCCUCCCUCCUUCACCCACCCAUUCCUCCCUCCUUCA